AUUGAACGCUGGCGGCAUGCUUUACACAUGCAAGUCGAACGGCAGCGCGGGCUUCGUCCUGGCGUCGAGUGGCGAACGGGUGAGUAAUACAUCGGAACGUGCCCAGUAGUGGGGGAUAGCUCGGCGAAAGCCGGAUUAAUACCGCAUACGACCUGCUGUUGAAAGCGGGGGAUCUUCGGACCUCGCGCUAUUGGAGCGGCCGAUGGCCGAUUAGCUAGUUGGUGGGGUAAAGGCCUACCAAGGCGACGAUCUGUAGCUGGUCUGAGAGGACGACCAGCCACACUGGGACUGAGACACGGCCCAGACUCCUACGGGAGGCAGCAGUGGGGAAUUUUGGACAAUGGGCGAAAGCCUGAUCGAGCAAUGCCGCGUGUGUGAUGAAGGACUUCGGGUUGUAAAGCACUUUUGGCGGGAAAGAAAAGGACUGUGCCAAUACCACGGUUCGAUGACGGUACCCGCAGAAUAAGCAACGGCUAACUACGUG
RNAcentral lists this ribosomal RNA (484 nucleotides) under uncultured bacterium. Its description in RNAcentral is "partial 16S ribosomal RNA". It matches the Rfam family "Bacterial small subunit ribosomal RNA", at positions 30 to 507 of the family's 1533-position model. The record is from RNAcentral.